AGUGGGUGGUACGUCCGGCUAUUAUCGUGGAGUCUCUACUUUUUAACUUUUUGUGUUGAAAAUAAAUUCGAAAAGGGGUUACUGGGUUUAUCUUUUCUGGAGAAAAUUCCCAAUUAUUCUCAAACUCAAAAACCAUACCAAACCCUAACCCUAGACAACGCCCAAUCAUGUCUAAGCAAGGUGGAAAGUUGAAGCCCUUGAAGCAACCUAAGAAGGAUAAGACUGAGUUGGAUGAGGAUGACAAGGCCGCUCUUCAAAAGAAGAAGGAAGAGGAGAAGGCUCUUAAAGAACUUAGAGCAAAGGCAUCUCAGAAGGGACAGUUCGGAGGCUCAGGACUGAAGAAGAGUGGAAAGAAGUGAGGAUGUUCCUGAAACAAAAUGCAAUGAACCUUGCAAUUAUAUGGUGUGAUAUUGUUAUUGUGAUAACUAUCGUAAUUUAAUGGUUGAUGUUAAAAUGCUAGUCCAACUCCUGAAGUUGCUAAUGGUUUUUCUUAUAUAAAACUAAUAAUUUGAAGGCGGAAUACAUUAGCUUGGUCUGCAUUUUUAUUCUCA
Chenopodium quinoa (quinoa) is the source of this 551-nucleotide long non-coding RNA. RefSeq lists it as uncharacterized. Lineage: Eukaryota; Viridiplantae; Streptophyta; Magnoliopsida; Caryophyllales; Amaranthaceae. The record is from RefSeq and is a predicted model, not a curated record. The transcript is spliced from 4 exons.